UGGCGGACGGGUGAGUAACGCGUGGGUAACCUGCCUCAUACAGGGGGAUAACAGUUAGAAAUGACUGCUAAUACCGCAUAAGACCACAGUACCGCAUGGUACAGGGGUAAAAACUCCGGUGGUAUGAGAUGGACCCGCGUCUGAUUAGGUAGUUGGUGGGGUAACGGCCUGCCAAGCCGACGAUCAGUAGCCGACCUGAGAGGGUGACCGGCCACAUUGGGACUGAGACACGGCCCAA
RNAcentral lists this ribosomal RNA (238 nucleotides) under uncultured bacterium. RNAcentral describes it as "partial 16S ribosomal RNA". It matches the Rfam family "Bacterial small subunit ribosomal RNA", at positions 96 to 334 of the family's 1533-position model. The record is from RNAcentral.